AGACGCGAAACCAAGUGAUCUACCCUUGGCCAGGUUGAAGGCUGGGUAACACCAGCUGGAGGACCGCACCAAUAAGCGUUGAAAAGCUUCUGGAUGAGCUGAGGGUAGGGGUGAAAGGCUAAUCAAACUUGGAGAUAGCUCGUACUCCCCGAAAUGCAUUUAGGUGCAGCCUUGUGGGUUACUGAUGUGAGGUAGAGCGACUGAUAAGAUGCGAGGGCUUCACCGCCUAUCAAGUCUUGACAAACUCCGAAUGCGCAUCAGUUUUACCUCAGGAGUGAGGGCAUGGGUGCUAAGGUCCGUGCCCGAGAGGAGAAGAAUCCGGACCACCUGCUAAGGUCCCGAAAUGACAGCUAAGUUAAACUAACGAAGUCUGACUGCUAAGACAGCUAGGAUGUUGGCUUGGAAGCAGCCAUUCAUUUAAAGAGUGCGUAACAGCUCACUAGUCGAGGAGUCUGGCGUGGAUAAUAAUCGGGUAUUAAGUUGUCUACCGAAGCAGUGGGAUCAUUGAAAUGAUCGGUAGGGGAGCAUUCCAGUCAGCGUCGAAGGCGUACCGCGAGGUAUUCUGGAGCGUCUGGAAAAGCAAAUGUAGGUAUAAGUAACGAUAAAGGGGGCGGGAAACCCCCUCGCCGAAAGACUAAGGUUUCCUGAUCAACGCUAAUCGGAUCAGGGUAAGUCGGGUCCUAAGGCUCAGCCGAAGGGCGAUGCCGAUGGCAGAAACGGUUAAUAUUCCGUUACUACCUCCAGGAGUGAUGUGGAGACGCAGUAGUGACAAUGCCGCCAUCUGACGGAAUAGAUGGUUGAAGGGUGUAGAUGUUGAUCUUGGCAGGCAAAUCCACCAUGAGAAUCGAACCUGAUAGUAUGCCGCGUCCCUCGGGACAAGGCAAUAGUGCAUGUAAUCAUGCUGCCAAGAAAAUCCGCUAAACUAAAUCCUGUAGGUACCCGUACCGUAAACGGACACACGUAGUCGGGAUGAAUAUUCUAAGGCGCUUGAGUGAUUCACGGUUAAGGAACUAGGCAAACUGACCCUGUAACUUCGGGAUAAAGGGUCCCUACCCGGUGACGGGAGGGCGCAGAGAAUAGGUCCAGGCAACUGUUUAACAAAAACACAGGGCUGUGCUAAAUCGAAAGAUCCUGUAUACAGCCUGACACCUGCCCGGUGCUGGAAGGUUAAGAGGAGACGUCAUCGUUGAGAGAAGCGUUGAAUUGAAGCCCCAGUAAACGGCGGCCGUAACUAUAACGGUCCUAAGGUAGCGAAAUUCCUUGUCGGGUAAGUUCCGACCUGCACGAAUGGUGUAAUGAUCUGGACGCUGUCUCAACCGUGAGCUCAGUGAAAUUGUAGUAUCGGUGAAGAUGCCGAUUACCCGCGAUGGGACGAAAAGACCCCGUGAACCUUUACUAUAGCUUAUCAUUGAAUCUGGGCACGUGAUGUGUAGGAUAGGUCGGAGGCUUUGAAGGGGGUACGCCAGUAUCCUUGGAGCCGCUGUUGAAAUACGACCCUUCAUUUGUUUGGAUUCUAACCCGUGUAUAUGGGGACACUGAUUGGUGGGUAGUUUGACUGGGGUGGUCGCCUCCAAAAGCGUAACGGAGGCUUCUAAAGG
RNAcentral lists this ribosomal RNA (1598 nucleotides) under gut metagenome. RNAcentral's name for it is "bacterial LSU rRNA". It matches the Rfam family "Bacterial large subunit ribosomal RNA", at positions 711 to 2316 of the family's 2925-position model. The record is from RNAcentral.